Molecule: non-coding RNA, 23 nt
Filed under: Cricetulus griseus (Chinese hamster)
Lineage: Eukaryota; Metazoa; Chordata; Mammalia; Rodentia; Cricetidae
Source: RNAcentral
AUGGGCAUCAUGAACUCCUUCGU